RNAcentral lists this transfer RNA (68 nucleotides) under Marmota monax (woodchuck). Its description in RNAcentral is "tRNA.Ala". Lineage: Eukaryota; Metazoa; Chordata; Mammalia; Rodentia; Sciuridae. The record is from RNAcentral.
GGUUUGUGGCUCAGUGGUAGAGUGUUUGCCUAGCAUGUGGGAGGCACUGGAUUCGAUACUCAGCACCA